UACGUAGGUGGCAAGCGUUUGUCCGGAUUUAUUGGGCGUAAAGCGCGCGCAGGCGGUCCUUUAAGUCUGAUGUGAAAUCUUGCGGCUCAACCGCAAGCGGUCAUUGGAAACUGGGGGACUUGAGUACAGAAGAGGAAAGCGGAAUUCCACGUGUAGCGGUGAAAUGCGUAGAGAUGUGGAGGAACACCAGUGGCGAAGGCGGCUUUCUGGUCUGUAACUGACGCUGGAGGCGCGAAAGCGUGGGGAGCAAACAGG
This 255-nucleotide ribosomal RNA is filed under the name uncultured bacterium. Its description in RNAcentral is "partial 16S ribosomal RNA". It matches the Rfam family "Bacterial small subunit ribosomal RNA", at positions 524 to 776 of the family's 1533-position model. The record is from RNAcentral.